This 599-nucleotide unclassified non-coding RNA is filed under the name Hevea brasiliensis (rubber tree). Lineage: Eukaryota; Viridiplantae; Streptophyta; Magnoliopsida; Malpighiales; Euphorbiaceae. The record is from RNAcentral.
UAACAGUCAGCCUUUCAUUCGCGUCUAUAUCUUCUACAGCUUCAAAACUAUGUCCUCGUCCCUCUGAGCGGAUGAAUUCAGCUAUGCUACAAACUAAGUCCUUUUCAAACUCUACGUCAUCCAUGUGAAUGUCUCGAUAACCAUAUCGUGCUAUGCAUCUGUAGACACGGUACUCUUUCGGUCCAAUUCUUCCAACAAGGAACCUUUCUUCAGGUCUCACGUGAGGUACUGGGACGGACUUGAUGCAAAGGAAUACAAGAACCUGGUGGAAAGCAGGGAGGUUGGUGACGAAAUGGGAGAAAAUAGCUGGAAUUCCUGUAACAAGCUCGGUGUGAAUGAGGCCAAUGCCACGGACCCGUGUAAUACCCAGGUUGGGACUCAAGGUGAGCAGCCAGUUGAUGGGAAUUUUGUUUUCAACAUCAAACUCGUACUUCUUCAGGGUUCCGUAAUGCCAACUAUACAUGACUCCUAGAAAUAUAAAAGACAGAACAAUCGGUACCCAGGCCCCUUCGAGGAACUUGAUUAGGGAUGCUGAAAAGUAGAGGGCUUCAAUGGAACCAAAGAAGAAUAUAAAGCAAAUGGCGAACAACACGUUUUUG